GGGGAUUUAGCUCAGUGGUAGAGCACUUGCCUAGCAAGUACAAGGCCCUGGGUUCGGUCCCCAGCUCCG
Molecule: non-coding RNA, 69 nt
Organism: Rattus norvegicus (Norway rat)
Lineage: Eukaryota; Metazoa; Chordata; Mammalia; Rodentia; Muridae
Source: Rfam